Molecule: ribosomal RNA, 1225 nt
Filed under: metagenome
Description: bacterial LSU rRNA
Rfam family: Bacterial large subunit ribosomal RNA
Source: RNAcentral
ACAGGUGGGCGAGAUGAGUAUUCUAAGGCGCUUGAGAGAACUCGGGAGAGGGAACUCGGCAAAUUGGUACCGUAACUUCGGGAAAAGGUACGCCCUUGUAGCUUGGCUGAUUUACUUCAGUAGGGCGAACGGGUUGCAAUAAACUGGUGGCUGCGACUGUUUAAUAAAAACACAGCACUCUGCAAACACGAAAGUGGACGUAUAGGGUGUGACGCCUGCCCGGUGCUGGAAGAUUAAAUGAUGGGGUGCAAGCUCUUGAUUGAAGUCCCAGUAAACGGCGGCCGUAACAAUAACGGUCCUAAGGUAGCGAAAUUCCUUGUCGGGUAAGUUCCGACCUGCACGAAUGGCGUAACGAUGGCCACACUGUCUCCUCCCGAGACUCAGCGAAGUUGAAGUGUUUGUGAUGAUGCAAUCUACCCGCGGCUAGACGGAAAGACCCCAUGAACCUUUACUGUAGCUUUGCAUUGGACUUUGAAUCAAUCUGUGUAGGAUAGGUGGGAGGCUUUGAAGCGGGGACGCCAGUUCUCGUGGAGCCAACCUUGAAAUACCACCCUGGUUCAUUUGAGGUUCUAACCUUGGCCCGUUAUCCGGGUCGGGGACAGUGCAUGGUAGGCAGUUUGACUGGGGCGGUCUCCUCCUAAAGUGUAACGGAGGAGUUCGAAGGUACGCUAGGUACGGUCGGACAUCGUGCUAAUAGUGCAAUGGCAUAAGCGUGCUUAACUGCGAGACUGACAAGUCGAGCAGGUACGAAAGUAGGACAUAGUGAUCCGGUGGUUCUGUAUGGAAGGGCCAUCGCUCAACGGAUGAAAGGUACUCUGGGGAUAACAGGCUGAUUCCUCCCAAGAGUUCAUAUCGACGGGGGAGUUUGGCACCUCGAUGUCGGCUCAUCACAUCCUGGGGCUGUAGCCGGUCCCAAGGGUAUGGCUGUUCGCCAUUUAAAGUGGUACGUGAGCUGGGUUAAAACGUCGUGAGACAGUUUGGUCCCUAUCUGCCGUGGGCGUUGGAAAUUUGAAGGGGGCUGCUCCUAGUACGAGAGGACCGGAGUGGACAGACCUCUGGUGUACCGGUUGUCACGCCAGUGGCAUUGCCGGGUAGCUAAGUUUGGAAGAGAUAACCGCUGAAAGCAUCUAAGCGGGAAACUUGCCUUAAGAUGAGAUUUCCCAGAGCCUUGAGCUCUUUGAAGGGUCGUUCGAGACCAGGACGUUGAUAGGUCAGGUGUGGAAGU